RNAcentral lists this transfer RNA (23 nucleotides) under Androsace helvetica. RNAcentral describes it as "partial tRNA-Arg". The record is from RNAcentral. Lineage: Eukaryota; Viridiplantae; Streptophyta; Magnoliopsida; Ericales; Primulaceae.
GCGUCCAUUGUCUAAUGGAUAGG